UACGGAGGGUGCAAGCGUUGCUCGGAAUUAUUGGGCGUAAAGGGCAAGUAGGUGGUCUCAUUUGUCAGGGGUGAAAGCCUUGGGCUUAACUCAAGAAGUGCCCCAGAAACGGUGAGACUAGAGUGCUGGAGAGGGUCGUGGAAUUCCCGGUGUAGCGGUGAAAUGCGUAGAGAUCGGGAGGAACACCAGAGGCGAAGGCGGCGACCUGGACAGCGACUGACACUCAACUGCGAAAGCGUGGGGAGCAAACAGG
This 253-nucleotide ribosomal RNA is filed under the name uncultured bacterium. RNAcentral's name for it is "partial 16S ribosomal RNA". It matches the Rfam family "Bacterial small subunit ribosomal RNA", at positions 524 to 776 of the family's 1533-position model. The record is from RNAcentral.